Molecule: ribosomal RNA, 366 nt
Filed under: uncultured organism
Description: bacterial LSU rRNA
Rfam family: Bacterial large subunit ribosomal RNA
Source: RNAcentral
CUUUACUGCAACUUGACGUUGGAACUUGGCUGUAUUUGUGUAGGAUAGGUGGGAGACUUUGAAGCAGGGCCGCCAGGUCUUGCGGAGUCGUCGUUGAAAUACCACCCUGGUGCUGACGAGUUUCUAACCGUGUCCGUAAGCCGGACAUGAGACAGCGUCUGGUGGGCAGUUUGACUGGGGCGGUCGCCUCCUAAAGGGUAACGGAGGCAUUCAAAGGUCCCCUCAGCGUGGUCGGUAAUCACGCGCAGAGUGCAAACGCAUAAGGGGGCUUAACUGCGAGACCGACAGGUCGAGCAGGUACGAAAGUAGGAGUUAGUGAUCCCGCGGUUUAGCGUGGAAUUGCCGUUGCUCAAUGGAUAAAAGGUA